Molecule: long non-coding RNA, 423 nt
Organism: Oncorhynchus tshawytscha (Chinook salmon)
Lineage: Eukaryota; Metazoa; Chordata; Actinopteri; Salmoniformes; Salmonidae
Source: Ensembl
GGGUGGAUGAGGGAUAGAUGGAUGGAUGGAUGGAUGGGUGGAUGAGGGAUAGAUGGGUGGAUGGAUGGAUGGUGAUGGAUGGAUGGAUGAGGGAUAGAUGGAUGGUGAUGGAUAGAUGGGUGGGUGGAUGAGGGAUAGGUGGAUGGAUAGAUGGAUGGAUGGGUGGGUGGAUGAUGGAUGGAUGGAUGGGUGGAUGGGUGGAUGAGGGAUAGAUGGAUGGAUGGGUGGAUGAGGGAUAGAUGGAUGGUGAUGGAUAGAUGGGUGGAUGGAUGGAUGGAUAGGUGGAUGGGUGGAUGGAUGGAUGGAUGGAUGGGUGGAUGAGGGAUAGAUGGAUGGUGAUGGAUGGAUGGGUGGAUGGAGGGGCAGAUAGAUGGAGGGAUUAUUGCCUUACAGUUCUUUGAGGUAUAUGUGGGCUCCUUGCCU